UACAGAGGUCUCAAGCGUUGUUCGGAUUCAUUGGGCGUAAAGGGCGCGUAGGCGGCACAGCAAGUCGGGAGUGAAAGCCCGGGGCUCAACCCCGGAACGGCUUCCGAAACUGCUGAGCUAGAGUGCGGAAGGGGCAACCGGAAUUCCCAGUGUAGCGGUGAAAUGCGUAGAUAUUGGGAAGAACACCCGAGGCGAAGGCGGGUUGCUGGGCCGACACUGACGCUGAGGCGCGAAAGCCAGGGGAGCAAACGGG
RNAcentral lists this ribosomal RNA (253 nucleotides) under uncultured bacterium. Its description in RNAcentral is "partial 16S ribosomal RNA". It matches the Rfam family "Bacterial small subunit ribosomal RNA", at positions 524 to 776 of the family's 1533-position model. The record is from RNAcentral.